AACGUAGGAGGCGAGCGUUAUCCGGAUUUACUGGGCGUAAAGCGCGUGCAGGCGGUUGGUUAAGUCGUGCGUGAAAGCUCCCUGGCUCAACCGGGAGAGGUCGUGCGAUACUGGCUGACUGGAGACAGAGAGAGGCAAGUGGAAUUCCGGGUGUAGUGGUGAAAUGCGUAGAUAUCCGGAGGAACACCGGUGGCGAAGGCGACUUGCUGGCUCUGAUCUGACGCUCAGACGCGAAAGCAUAGGGAGCGAACGGG
RNAcentral lists this ribosomal RNA (254 nucleotides) under uncultured bacterium. RNAcentral describes it as "partial 16S ribosomal RNA". It matches the Rfam family "Bacterial small subunit ribosomal RNA", at positions 524 to 776 of the family's 1533-position model. The record is from RNAcentral.